RNAcentral lists this ribosomal RNA (500 nucleotides) under uncultured bacterium. RNAcentral describes it as "partial 16S ribosomal RNA". It matches the Rfam family "Bacterial small subunit ribosomal RNA", at positions 30 to 523 of the family's 1533-position model. The record is from RNAcentral.
AUUGAACGCUGGCGGAAUGCUUUACACAUGCAAGUCGAACGGCAGCACGGACUUCGGUCUGGUGGCGAGUGGCGAACGGGUGAGUAACAUAUCGGAACGUAUCCAAUAAUGGGGGAUAACUAAUCGAAAGGUUGGCUAAUACCGCAUACGCCCUACGGGGGAAAGCAGGGGAUCUUCGGACCUUGCGUUAAUGGAGCGGCUGAUAUCUGAUUAGCUAGUUGGUGAGGUAAAGGCUCACCAAGGCGACGAUCAGUAGCUGGUCUGAGAGGACGACCAGCCACACUGGAACUGAGACACGGUCCAGACUCCUACGGGAGGCAGCAGUGGGGAAUUUUGGACAAUGGGCGCAAGCCUGAUCCAGCCAUUCCGCGUGAGUGAAGAAGGCCUUCGGGUUGUAAAGCUCUUUCGCAAGGGAAGAAAACUUACUUUCUAAUAAAGAGUGAGGUUGACGGUACCUUGAUAAGAAGCACCGGCUAACUACGUGCCAGCCGCCGCCGUAA